Jaculus jaculus (lesser Egyptian jerboa) is the source of this 103-nucleotide small nuclear RNA. Lineage: Eukaryota; Metazoa; Chordata; Mammalia; Rodentia; Dipodidae. The record is from Ensembl.
GUGCUCACUUUGCCAGCACAUAUACUAAAAUUGGAACACUACAGAGAUAGCAUGGCCCCCACGCAAGGAUGACACACAAAUUUGUGAAGUUUUCCAUAUUUUU